AGCGAACGCUGGCGGCAGGCUUAACACAUGCAAGUCGAACGCACUCUUCGGAGUGAGUGGCAGACGGGUGAGUAACACGUGGGAACGUGCCCUUCGAUUCGGAAUAACUCAGGGAAACUUGAGCUAAUACCGGAUACGCCCUUCGGGGGAAAGAUUUAUCGUCGAAGGAUCGGCCCGCGUCUGAUUAGCUUGUUGGUGGGGUAAUGGCCUACCAAGGCGACGAUCAGUAGCUGGUCUGAGAGGAUGAUCAGCCACACUGGGACUGAGACACGGCCCAGACUCCUACGGGAGGCAGCAGUGGGGAAUAUUGGACAAUGGGCGAAAGCCUGAUCCAGCCAUGCCGCGUGAGUGAUGAAGGCCUUAGGGUUGUAAAGCUCUUUUAUCCGGGAAGAUAAUGACUGUACCGGAAGAAUAAGCCCCGGCUAACUUCGUGCCAGCCGCCGCCGUAACAC
RNAcentral lists this ribosomal RNA (452 nucleotides) under uncultured bacterium. RNAcentral describes it as "bacterial SSU rRNA". It matches the Rfam family "Bacterial small subunit ribosomal RNA", at positions 29 to 526 of the family's 1533-position model. The record is from RNAcentral.